GUGGGGAAUCUUCCGCAAUGGACGAAAGUCUGACGGAGCAACGCCGCGUGAGUGAUGAAGGUCUUCGGAUUGUAAAGCUCUGUUAAUCGGGACGAAAGAGCCUAGUGUGAAUAAUGCUAGGAAGUGACGGUACCGGAAUAGAAAGCCACGGCUAACUACGUGCCAGCAGCCGCGGUAAUACGUAGGUGGCAAGUGUUGUCCGGAAUUAUUGGGCGUAAAGCGCGCGCAGGCGGAUCUGCCAGUCUGUCUUAAAAGUUCGGGGCUUAACCCCGUGAUGGGAUGGAAACUACAGAUCUAGAGUAUCGGAGAGGAAAGUGGAAUUCCUAGUGUAGCGGUGAAAUGCGUAGAUAUUAGGAAGAACACCAGUGGCGAAGGCGACUUUCUGGACGAAAACUGACGCUGAGGCGCGAAAGCCAGGGGAGCGAACGGGAUUAGAAACCCGAGUAGUCC
This 450-nucleotide ribosomal RNA is filed under the name uncultured bacterium. Its description in RNAcentral is "partial 16S ribosomal RNA". It matches the Rfam family "Bacterial small subunit ribosomal RNA", at positions 354 to 796 of the family's 1533-position model. The record is from RNAcentral.